Molecule: long non-coding RNA, 905 nt
Organism: Parus major (Great Tit)
Lineage: Eukaryota; Metazoa; Chordata; Aves; Passeriformes; Paridae
Exons: 5
Source: RefSeq, a predicted model, not a curated record
AAAGUCGGCAGGAUGCGCUGCUCUUGUCUUACUGAGACACUUUCUCCCACUACGGCAUGAAUGUCACAGCCGAAUGUUAGGGAAAAGGUGUGAAGAGCAAAACCUUCCCCCCAGCUGGGAAUGGGGCGCGGUGCCCUCACGGGUGAGGGCUGAGGGGAGCGGCCAUCCAGGUGCUCUCCGGGGGUUGCUGAUCACACCCCCAGCACAAUUUAUUGUAAAUAUCACAGAGUUGUCAGCAGGUAAAACGGUUUCCUCUUUUCACAGCUGUUGCUUCUUUGGAAAUGCAAAGCUGCCGCCUUGCUAAUAAGCAAGAUGGGUCCCUGUCCAUGGUGUAUCGCAAAAAUCAGAUCUCUGAGACUUUGAAAGGAAGGGGUUUUGAUCUUGAAAUUAUCUGCUGCUUCCUGACUUCGAUCCAGAACAAAUCCUUCAGAGGGGCCCUGAACCAUGAUUGCUGGAAAAAGCUGAAGCUACCAUUCUGAGACCCCACAGAAACAAGUUUACUGGGAACCUGUCUGCAAUGAAGGAUGAAGUGUAGUAAAAAAGAGCCCUCUUCUGUAUCCUUGAGUCAGAGCUGUGAAGGGUGAUGUUCUCUCACCAAGUAAAUGAAGCUCUAAGAAGGAUUUCUUGAUAGGCUGGAGAUUUCUUCUUGAAAAUUUCUUGAAUCUUUUCAAGAAGAUUUCUAUUCAAAGGCUUGGUGCUGCAACUUAAGGCAUUGGGACAACAGCAUUUUUCAGAAGAAUUGAGGCAACUAGACAGGGGCUUUAAUUGUCUUUGGUGUCUAUUUCUCUUGGAUUUAAUAGUAUGUGUAUUUUGUGUUAUGUGUGAUUGUGUUAAGAAUGCUAAUAUUUUAGAUAAACAUUUAUUGCUGUUUAACAGCUUUGUAAUGGAUAUGUGAGUAUCUAAGA